Molecule: long non-coding RNA, 529 nt
Filed under: Homo sapiens (human)
Lineage: Eukaryota; Metazoa; Chordata; Mammalia; Primates; Hominidae
Description: non-protein coding lnc-ZNF705E-2:1
Source: RNAcentral
GGAACUGUGGACAUCAAGGAAAGGACUCCAAAGACAAAAAACAAGACCCUCAUGGUUGAAUAGGUAAAGCAGGUUAGAGAGAAUCAGUAGUUGAGAUGAAGAGGACUUCUGUGUACAUUCAGUCCUCUGAAGAGGGACAAGAGAACAAAGCCAGGAGCCUGGUACCAGCUUCCCAGGAUUAGGGCACACAGCCCCGGAGUAAUGAGCUGAGCCUUGGCCCCCAGAAGUUUCCCAGAAAUGAAGCCAGUCAACGGAACCCACCUUAUUCCACAAUCAAACCAUCAAAGGUGUCAAAGAAUAUAAGAGCAAAAACCCCAUCCAAAGGACAGUGAUAUGGUUUGGCUCUGUGUCCCCACCCAAAUGUCACCUUGAAUAAAUCCCCAUGUGUCAAGGGCAGGACCAGAAGGAGAUAACUUAAUCAUGGGGUGCUUCCCCAGUGAGUGAGCUCUCAUGAGAUCUGAUGAUUUUAUAAAUGGGAAUUCCCCUGCACAAGCUCUCUUGCUUGACACCACGUAAGACGUAAUUUUGC